ACGUGAGUAACCUGCCCUUGACUCUGGGAUAAGCGUUGGAAACGACGUCUAAUACCGGAUAUGAACUGUGACGGCAUCGUCUGCAGUUGGAAAGAAUUUUGGUCAAGGAUGGACUCGCGGCCUAUCAGGUAGUUGGUGAGGUAAUGGCUCACCAAGCCGACGACGGGUAGCCGGCCUGAGAGGGUGACCGGCCACACUGGGACUGAGACACGGCCCAGACUCCUACGGGAGGCAGCAGUGGGGAAUAUUGCACAAUGGGCGAAAGCCUGAUGCAGCAACGCCGCGUGAGGGACGACGGCCUUCGGGUUGUAAACCUCUUUUAGUAGGGAAGAAGCGAAAGUGACGGUACCUGCAGAAAAAGCACCGGCUAACUACGUGCCAGCAGCCGCGGUAAUACGUAGGGUGCAAGCGUUGUCCGGAAUUAUUGGGCGUAAAGAGCUCGUAGGCGGUUUGUCGCGUCUGCUGUGAAAUCUGGGGGCUCAACCCCCAGCCUGCAGUGGGUACGGGCAGACUAGAGUGCGGUAGGGGAGAUUGGAAUUCCUGGUGUAGCGGUGGAAUGCGCAGAUAUCAGGAGGAACACCGAUGGCGAAGGCAGAUCUCUGGGCCGUAACUGACGCUGAGGAGCGAAAGCAUGGGGAGCGAACAGGAUUAGAUACCCUGGUAGUCCAUGCCGUAAACGUUGGGAACUAGAUGUAGGGGCCAUUCCACGGUUUCUGUGUCGCAGCUAACGCAUUAAGUUCCCCGCCUGGGGAGUACGGCCGCAAGGCUAAAACUCAAAGGAAUUGACGGGGGCCCGCACAAGCGGCGGAGCAUGCGGAUUAAUUCGAUGCAACGCGAAGAACCUUACCAA
This 850-nucleotide ribosomal RNA is filed under the name Frondihabitans sp. 684G17. RNAcentral's name for it is "bacterial SSU rRNA". It matches the Rfam family "Bacterial small subunit ribosomal RNA", at positions 115 to 977 of the family's 1533-position model. Lineage: Bacteria; Bacillati; Actinomycetota; Actinomycetes; Micrococcales; Microbacteriaceae. The record is from RNAcentral.